RNAcentral lists this ribosomal RNA (497 nucleotides) under uncultured bacterium. RNAcentral describes it as "partial 16S ribosomal RNA". It matches the Rfam family "Bacterial small subunit ribosomal RNA", at positions 899 to 1397 of the family's 1533-position model. The record is from RNAcentral.
ACUCAAAUGAAUUGACGGGGGCCCGCACAAGCGGAGGAGCAUGUGGUUUAAUUCGAUGAUACGCGAGGAACCUUACCUGGGCUUGAAAGUUAGUGACGUCCUGAGAAAUCAGGAUUCCCGCAAGGGCACGAAACUAGGUGCUGCAUGGCUGUCGUCAGCUCGUGCCGUGAGGUGUUGGGUUAAGUCCCGUAACGAGCGCAACCCCUAUCAUUAGUUGCCAACAGGUAAAGCUGGGGACUCUAAUGAGACUGCCCGCGCAAGCGGUGAGGAAGGUGGGGAUGACGUCAAGUCAGCACGGCCCUUACGUCCAGGGCUACACACGUGCUACAAUGGCCGGUACAGAAGGAUGCUACUUGGUGACAAGAUGCUAAUCUAAAAAACCGGUCUCAGUUCGGAUUGAAGUCUGCAACUCGACUUCAUGAAGCUGGAUUCGCUAGUAAUCGCAUAUCAGCAAUGAUGCGGUGAAUACGUUCCCGGGCCUUGCACACACCGCCCGU